RNAcentral lists this ribosomal RNA (479 nucleotides) under Hemibagrus wyckioides. RNAcentral's name for it is "partial 12S ribosomal RNA". It matches the Rfam family "Bacterial small subunit ribosomal RNA", at positions 859 to 1527 of the family's 1533-position model. The record is from RNAcentral. Lineage: Eukaryota; Metazoa; Chordata; Actinopteri; Siluriformes; Bagridae.
ACAUACACAUCCGCCCGGGUACUACGAGCACAGCUUAAAACCCAAAGGACUUGGCGGUGCCUCAGACCCACCUAGAGGAGCCUGUUCUAGAACCGAUAACCCCCGUUAAACCUCAUCACUUCUUGUUUUUUCCGCCUAUAUACCGCCGUCGUCAGCUUACCCUGUGAAGGUCUAACAGUAAGCAAAAUGGGCCCACCCAAAAACGUCAGGUCGAGGUGUAGCGCACGAAGUGGAAAGAAAUGGGCUACAUUUUCUACACCAUAGAAUAUUACGAACGGCAUCUUGAAACUAGAUACCAGAAGGUGGAUUUAGUAGUAAAAAGUAAAUAGAGUGUACCUUUGAAUUAGGCUCUGAGACGCGCACACACCGCCCGUCACUCUCCCCCACAUAAUUCCAACCAAUCCAUAAUAAAACAACCAUAAACACGGGGAGGCAAGUCGUAACAUGGUAAGUGUACCGGAAGGUGCACUUGGAAUAAC